Molecule: ribosomal RNA, 2263 nt
Filed under: human metagenome
Description: bacterial LSU rRNA
Rfam family: Bacterial large subunit ribosomal RNA
Source: RNAcentral
AGAGCGCACGGAGGAUGCCUUGGCACUAGGAGCCGAAGAAGGACGUGACAAACGACGAAACGCUACGGGGAGCUGUAAGUAAGCAAAGAUCCGUAGAUAUCCGAAUGGGGGAACCCACCGCUUUUAAAAGGGCGGUACGCGAAAGCGAGGUAACGCAGGGAACUGAAACAUCUAAGUACCUGUAGGAAGAGAAAGAAAAAUCGAUUUCCUAAGUAGCGGCGAGCGAAAGGGAAAGAGCCCAAACCAAUAUGCUUGCAUAUUGGGGUUGUAGGACUCUCAAUAAAACGUAUGACAAAGUAUAGUAGAACGAGCUGGAAAGUUAGACCGUAGAAGGUAAAAGUCCUGUAUACGAAAUGCUGAGUUGGCGUGAGAGAGCACCUGAGUACGGCGGAACACGAGGAAUUCCGUCGGAAUCUACCAGGACCAUCUGGUAAGGCUAAAUACUACCUAGUGACCGAUAGUGAACCAGUACCGUGAGGGAAAGGUGAAAAGAACCCCGGGAGGGGAGUGAAAGAGAACCUGAAACCGUGUGCUUACAAGUAGUCAGAGCCCUUUAGGGGGUGAUGGCGUGCCUUUUGUAGAAUGAACCGGCGAGUUACUUUAUCAUGCGAGGUUAAGUGGAAGACAUGGAGCCGAAGCGAAAGCGAGUCUUAAUAGGGCGAAAUAGUAUGAUGGAGUAGACCCGAAACCAAGUGAUCUACCCAUGGCCAGGUUGAAGUUUAGGUAACACUGAAUGGAGGACCGAACCAGGACACGUUGAAAAGUGUUUGGAUGAGCUGUGGGUAGCGGAGAAAUUCCAAUCGAACUUGGAAAUAGCUGGUUCUCUCCGAAAUAGCUUUAGGGCUAGCCUCGUUGUGAGUUUACUGGAGGUAGAGCACUGUUUGGACUAGGGGCCCAUCCCGGGUUACCGAAUUCAGACAAACUCCGAAUGCCAGAUAAAUAUCAACGGGAGUCAGACUGCGGGUGAUAAGGUUCGUAGUCGAAAGGGAAACAGCCCAGACCGCCAGCUAAGGUCCCAAAUUGUAUGUUAAGUGGAAAAGGAUGUGAUGAUGCACAGACAACCAGGAUGUUGGCUUAGAAGCAGCCACCAUUUAAAGAGUGCGUAAUAGCUCACUGGUCGAGUGACAUCGCGCCGAAAAUGUACCGGGGCUAAACAUACAACCGAAGCUGCGGAUAUAACUAAUGUUAUAUGGUAGGAGAGCGUUCUAACAUCAUAGAAGCCGAACUGGAAGGUGAGGUGGAGAGGUUAGAAGUGAGAAUGCCGGUGUGAGUAGCGAAAGAUAGGUGAGAAUCCUAUCCACCGAAAGACUAAGGUUUCCAGAGGAAGGCUCGUCCGCUCUGGGUAAGUCGGGACCUAAGGUGAAGCCGAUAGGUGAAGCCGAUGGACAACAGGUAGAAAUUCCUGUACCACCGAAUAUCGAUUGAGAGAAGUGGGGACAGAGGAGGCUAAUUGAUCGCCCUGAUGGAAUAGGGCGUCUAAGCACAAAGACUGACAAGUAGGCAAAUCCGCUUGUUUAAAGGUUGAAGUGUGAUGGGGAGCGAAAUAUAGUAGCGAAGUCAAUGAAGCCAAACUCUCAAGAAAAGCCGCUAUCGAGAUAAGAGGUGCCCGUACCGCAAACCGACACAGGUAGUUGGGAAGAGAAUUCUAAGGUGAGCGAGAGAACCAUCGUUAAGGAACUCGGCAAAAUGACCCCGUAACUUCGGGAGAAGGGGUGCCUACGAGAGUAGGCCGCAGUGAAUAGGCCCAAGCGACUGUUUAUCAAAAACACAGGUCUCUGCAAAACCGAAAGGUGAAGUAUAGGGGCUGACGCCUGCCCGGUGCUGGAAGGUUAAGAGGAGUGCUUAGCGCAAGCGAAGGUAUGAAUUGAAGCCCCAGUAAACGGCGGCCGUAACUAUAACGGUCCUAAGGUAGCGAAAUUCCUUGUCGGGUAAGUUCCGACCCGCACGAAAGGCGUAACGAUUUGGGCACUGUCUCAACGAUGGACUCGGUGAAAUCAUAGUACCUGUGAAGAUGCAGGUUACCCGCGACAGGACGGAAAGACCCCAUGGAGCUUUACUGUAGCUUGAUAUUGAAUUUUGAUGCAGUAUGUACAGGAUAGGUAGGAGCCUGAGAAUCAUGCACGCCAGUGUAUGAGGAGGCGUUGUUGGGAUACUACCCUUGCUGUAUUGAAAUUCUAACCCUCGGCAUAGAAAACCGGGAGACAGUGUCAGGUGGGCAGUUUGACUGGGGCGGUCGCCUCCUAAAGAGUAACGGAGGCGUUCA